This is a non-coding RNA of Aedes aegypti (yellow fever mosquito), 115 nucleotides long. The record is from Rfam. Lineage: Eukaryota; Metazoa; Arthropoda; Insecta; Diptera; Culicidae.
UGUCCAGUAACUCCUAUCCCUACCUCCCCGAGGUGCCGCCUGGGGUACGAGUAACUGUAGGGAAGAUCGGGUAACCAACCGUGAUGGGACCUUGGUCGUAUGCUGACAGGGAAGG